This 880-nucleotide ribosomal RNA is filed under the name Halomonhystera disjuncta. Its description in RNAcentral is "SSU rRNA". It matches the Rfam family "Eukaryotic small subunit ribosomal RNA", at positions 101 to 987 of the family's 1831-position model. Lineage: Eukaryota; Metazoa; Nematoda; Chromadorea; Monhysterida; Monhysteridae. The record is from RNAcentral.
UUACAAUAGCCGUUGUUUCUUGGAUCCUCAAUUUACUUGGAUACCUGUGGUAAUUCUAGAGCUAAUACAUGCGACUAAGGGCCGAACUCACGUGACGCUUGCAUUUAUUAGAUCAAGACUAACCGGCUUCGGCCGUUAACUUGGUGACUCUGAAUAACUCAGCUGAUCGCACGGUCUAGUGCCGGCGACAUAUCUUUCAAGUGUCUACCUUAUCAACUGUCGAUGGUAGUUUAUGUGACUACCAUGGUUGUAACGGGUAACGGAGAAUCAGGGUUUGACUCCGGAGAGGGAGCCUGAGAAACGGCUACCACUUCUAAGGAAGGCAGCAGGCGCGCAAAUUACACAAUCUCAGCACGAGGAUGUAGUGACGAAACAUACCGAGGCGAUGCCCUUUCGGGUGUCGUCAUUGGAAUGAGUCGAAUCUAAAAAAUUCGGCAAGGAUCUAGUGGAGGGCAAGUCUGGUGCCAGCAGCCGCGGUAAUUCCAGCUCCGCAAGUGUAUAUCUAUGCUGUUGCGGUUAAAAAGCUCGUAGUUUGAUUCGCGUACUUAGCACGCAGUGUGGCCUUUCGGCUACUACUGUGAUGCGGUACAUUAUCGUCAGUUUGUCGUUGAUGCUCUUCAUUGGGUGUCAGCGGCGGCUGUCAAGUUUACUUUGAACAAAUUAAAGUGCUCAAUACAGGCGUUUCGCUUGUAUAGUUCUGCAUGGAAUAAUAGAAUAGGACUUACGUUCUAUUGUGUUGGUUUUCAGAACGAAAGUAAUGAUUAAGAGGGACAGACGGGGUCAUUCGUACUGCCACGUUAGAGGUGAAAUUCUUGGAUCGUGGCAAGACGAACUACUGCGAAAGCAUUUGACAAGAAUGUUUUCAUUAAUCAAGAACGAA